UGGUAAAAUGUGAUGUACCUAGUAAUAUUASUGAUUAAUAUGAGGCUAACCGAGUUAGUUAAAAUUCUAAGUAUAUAUGUGAUUAUGACAAUAUGUGCUUAUUUCUUGACCAAGUCACGUGCCAGCCGUCGCGGUAAUACGUGGAAGAUCASUGUUAUUCAUCUUUAUCAGGUUUAAAGGGUACCUAGACGGUUAAUUAAGCUUUAGUAGGAACUAAUUAACUAGAGUUUAAUGUAAGAAUGAUUGAGUACGGUGAGUGUAGAGAUAAAAUUCUGUCAUACCACUUAGGAACUGGUAAAAGCGAAGGCAACUUUCUAUGUAAAAACUGACGUUAAGGGACGAAGGCUCGUAUCAAAUAACAGGAUUAGAUACCCCAGCAUUGUGGGCAGACAAUGAUGAGUGUCAUAUGCAAGAGAUAAAUAUAUAAAAAAAUAUUUUGUGUAUAAAUGAAAGUGUAAGCACUCCACCUCAAGAGUAACGUGGCAACAUGGGAACUGAAAUCAUUAGACCGUUUCUGAAACUCGUAGUGAAGUAUGUUGUUUAAUUAGAUGGUGCACAAAUAACCUUACCACAAUUUGUAUAACUAUAGUACAUAAUAAUAAUAUAGUUACAAGCGUUGCACGGCUGUCUUUAGUCUAUGUUGUGAAACUGUGGUUAGAUCCAUUAAAUAGACGUAAACCCUUACUUUAUUUAUUAUAAAGUAGUUCGCCGCUAUAUUGGUAGUGAUAUAAGGGACUAGGACAAGUCAUCAUGACCUGAACAUUGU
Molecule: ribosomal RNA, 766 nt
Filed under: Diploschistes scruposus
Lineage: Eukaryota; Fungi; Ascomycota; Lecanoromycetes; Ostropales; Graphidaceae
Description: mitochondrial SSU rRNA
Rfam family: Bacterial small subunit ribosomal RNA
Source: RNAcentral